RNAcentral lists this ribosomal RNA (427 nucleotides) under uncultured bacterium. RNAcentral describes it as "partial 16S ribosomal RNA". It matches the Rfam family "Bacterial small subunit ribosomal RNA", at positions 355 to 774 of the family's 1533-position model. The record is from RNAcentral.
UGGGGAAUAUUGGACAAUGGGCGAAAGCCUGAUCCAGCCAUGCCGCGUGUGUGAAGAAGGUCUUCGGAUUGUAAAGCACUUUAAGUUGGGAGGAAGGGCAUUAACCUAAUACGUUAGUGUUUUGACGUUACCGACAGAAUAAGCACCGGCUAACUCUGUGCCAGCAGCCGCGGUAAUACAGAGGGUGCAAGCGUUAAUCGGAAUUACUGGGCGUAAAGCGCGCGUAGGUGGUCUGUUAAGUUGGAUGUGAAAUCCCCGGGCUCAACCUGGGAACUGCAUUCAAAACUGACUGACUAGAGUAUGGUAGAGGGUGGUGGAAUUUCCUGUGUAGCGGUGAAAUGCGUAGAUAUAGGAAGGAACACCAGUGGCGAAGGCGACCACCUGGACUAAUACUGACACUGAGGUGCGAAAGCGUGGGUAGCAAACA